This 249-nucleotide long non-coding RNA is filed under the name Hordeum vulgare. Its description in RNAcentral is "long non-coding RNA (HVUL_LNC002316)". Lineage: Eukaryota; Viridiplantae; Streptophyta; Magnoliopsida; Poales; Poaceae. The record is from RNAcentral.
GAAAAUGGAAAUAAAGGGGAAUCUUCUGGAAAUUCGGCAUCGGGCUGUCACAACGAGGUUCUUUUUUCGUUUGCUAUUUCCUACUAAGAUGACACUAAUUUUUUACAUAGUUUAAAAUAAUUCGAGCAUUAUGAUUUUAAGAACUCACGGGAUUUGGAAAAUAGGCAAAUUUGAAAAAAACGUUGAUUUCAGAAAAAGUUCAUGAAUGAAGAAAAAAGGAAAUAAUGAAAACAAAAUAAAAAGAAAAAU